Molecule: long non-coding RNA, 140 nt
Organism: Etheostoma cragini (Arkansas darter)
Lineage: Eukaryota; Metazoa; Chordata; Actinopteri; Perciformes; Percidae
Exons: 3
Source: RefSeq, a predicted model, not a curated record
AAAAAAAAAACGCCGGCAUUUCAAGACCUCUUCCUCCAGUUUUCCAGCUCCGCUCUCUCUCUGCAUGUGUAGAACUACCAAUAGGAACGCGCCCUCUCUCUGAAAUGGCCUGUGAUUGGCCGAAGUCAUGGGCAAGAUUU